This is a long non-coding RNA of Lontra canadensis (Northern American river otter), 596 nucleotides long. RefSeq lists it as uncharacterized. The record is from RefSeq and is a predicted model, not a curated record. Lineage: Eukaryota; Metazoa; Chordata; Mammalia; Carnivora; Mustelidae. The transcript is spliced from 3 exons.
GCCGUGACUGACCUUGGGGGACCUGGUAAUGAGAUAACGAUGAUAGGUUUUGCUCUGAGGGCGCUUUCUUCCAGCACCAUUCCCAAGAUCACUACUCAUGUGUGUUGCCUGUAGAGUGGGAGAGACCCAAGCUUUCUAGCCAUUUUCUUGCCUGCUCAGAGAGCUCUGAGUAGAACUGCUCCUCCCCUUGAGGUUCAGCCAAAUGGAACCUUCUUUGUGACCUCUGAAUUCCUAUUUCUGAGGAAAGAGGAAAAUGCUGGGUUAUGGGGAGAUCAUCGGGCCUGUACAGAAGACAGGAUUUCUGACUAUUCUCAGGGGGCAGAUUUUUGUCCCUCUUCUGUACGUUAAUAAAAAUACUAUCCAGUAGUGGGCUUCCGUAUUGUCUCAGGCUCCACUGGAAAUGCAGCAAAGAUUCCUAGCACAUCCCAGUUGCCAUAGCAACAGCAGUCUUUCCCAUAAUGAGCUGCAUCAUCUGAACUGAUGUCACAGCAUCAUGCAGCAGGUCAAACAAGGCAUCUCCUAGUAUUGCAUCCUACAGAUGUGCUGUAAACAUCAAAAGGAGAUGGUGGGAGCAGGAGAUGGUGACUCUCUUUCCU